RNAcentral lists this ribosomal RNA (496 nucleotides) under uncultured bacterium. Its description in RNAcentral is "partial 16S ribosomal RNA". It matches the Rfam family "Bacterial small subunit ribosomal RNA", at positions 29 to 507 of the family's 1533-position model. The record is from RNAcentral.
AUGAACGCUGGCGGCGUGCCUAAUACAUGCAAGUCGAGCGAACGGACGAGAAGCUUGCUUCUCUGAUGUUCGCGGCGGACGGGUGAGUAACACGUGGAUAACCUACCUAUAAGACUGGGAUAACUUCGGGAAACCGGAGCUAAUACCGGAUGAUAUUUUGAACCGCCUGGUUCAAAAGUGAAAGACGGUCUUGCUGUCACUUAUAGAUGGAUCCGCGCUGCAUUAGCUAGUUGGUAAGGUAACGGCUUACCAAGGCAACGAUGCAUAGCCGACCUGAGAGGGUGAUCGGCCACACUGGAACUGAGACACGGUCCAGACUCCUACGGGAGGCAGCAGUAGGGAAUCUUCCGCAAUGGGCGAAAGCCUGACGGAGCAACGCCGCGUGAGUGAUGAAGGUCUUCGGAUCGUAAAACUCUGUUAUUAGGGAAGAACAUAUGUGUAAGUAACUGUGCACAUCUUGACGGUACCUAAUCAGAAAGCCACGGCUAACUACGUG